UGCCAGCCGCCGCGGUAAUACGAAGGGGGCGAGCGUUGUUCGGAAUUACUGGGCGUAAAGGGCGCGUAGGCGGUCUUUUAAGUUAGGCGUGAAAGCCCCGGGCUCAACCCGGGAACUGCGCUUAAUACUGGAAGACUAGAAAACGGAAGAGGGUAGUGGAAUUCCCAGUGUAGAGGUGAAAGUCGUAGAUAUUGGGAAGAACACCAGUGGCGAAGGCGGCUCACUGGCUCGAUACUGAAGCUGAGUUGCGAAAGCGUGGGGAGAAAACAGGAUUAGAUA
RNAcentral lists this ribosomal RNA (279 nucleotides) under uncultured bacterium. RNAcentral's name for it is "partial 16S ribosomal RNA". It matches the Rfam family "Bacterial small subunit ribosomal RNA", at positions 506 to 784 of the family's 1533-position model. The record is from RNAcentral.